CGAACGGAAAGGCCCUGCUUGCAGGGUACUCGAGUGGCGAACGGGUGAGUAACACGUGGGUGAUCUGCCCUGCACUUCGGGAUAAGCCUGGGAAACUGGGUCUAAUACCGGAUAGGAGCCAUUUUUAGUGUGAUGGCUGGAAAGUUUUUUCGGUGUAGGAUGAGCUCGCGGCCUAUCAGCUUGUUGGUGGGGUAAUGGCCUACCAAGGCGGCGACGGGUAGCCGGCCUGAGAGGGUGGACGGCCACAUUGGGACUGAGAUACGGCCCAGACUCCUACGGGAGGCAGCAGUGGGGAAUAUUGCACAAUGGGCGCAAGCCUGAUGCAGCGACGCCGCGUGGGGGAUGACGGCCUUCGGGUUGUAAACUCCUUUCGCUAGGGACGAAGCUUUUUGUGACGGUACCUAGAUAAGAAGCACCGGCUAACUACGUGCCAGCAGCCGCGGUAAUACGUAGGGUGCGAGCGUUGUCCGGAAUUACUGGGCGUAAAGGGCUCGUAGGUGGUUUGUCGCGUCGUCUGUGAAAUUCCGGGGCUUAACUCCGGGCGUGCAGGCGAUACGGGCAUAACUUGAGUACUGUAGGGGUAACUGGAAUUCCUGGUGUAGCGGUGAAAUGCGCAGAUAUCAGGAGGAACACCGAUGGCGAAGGCAGG
RNAcentral lists this ribosomal RNA (649 nucleotides) under uncultured Actinomycetales bacterium. RNAcentral describes it as "bacterial SSU rRNA". It matches the Rfam family "Bacterial small subunit ribosomal RNA", at positions 63 to 725 of the family's 1533-position model. The record is from RNAcentral. Lineage: Bacteria; Bacillati; Actinomycetota; Actinomycetes; Actinomycetales.